AUGCUCAUUUCAGCAGCACAUAUACUAAAAUUGGCGCUAUACAGAGAUUAGCAGGGCUCCUGCUCAAGCCUGAAAUACAAAUGCACGAAGCGUUCCAUGAAAAC
Molecule: small nuclear RNA, 104 nt
Organism: Jaculus jaculus (lesser Egyptian jerboa)
Lineage: Eukaryota; Metazoa; Chordata; Mammalia; Rodentia; Dipodidae
Source: Ensembl